This is a long non-coding RNA of Alexandromys fortis (reed vole), 633 nucleotides long. RefSeq lists it as uncharacterized. NCBI's taxonomy places the organism in Eukaryota, Metazoa, Chordata, Mammalia, Rodentia, Cricetidae. The transcript is spliced from 3 exons. The record is from RefSeq and is a predicted model, not a curated record.
UGUUCAUAGCAACAUUAUUCAUAAUAGCCAGAACCUGGAAACAACCUAGAAGACCCUCAGCUGAAGAAUCUUAGAAGGGAUUGUUGCUCAAGAAGUUCCCUGAAGAGGGGAUAUUUUAAAAACUACUGAUAUCUUUGUGUAAAUAGUUCCUGGAGAGCCCAUGAAACAGCUGCCAAACAUCCCGAAUCCAGAUGCAGAUGCUCUCUAAGGAGAGAAAAACCUAGAUGUGAGGAUGCCAACAUGCUGCUCAUUACUCAGUCUUUCAUUUAUACAAAAGCCUAAUUAUAAAAAUAAACAAUUGGAUCUGUCUAACCCAUCACAUCUGCCAGCUGUAGAGGAAUGGAACCACAGCAACAUGGAGGCAUGUUGUAAGAAGGAAUGAAACUGAAUUCUGCCUAAGAUGACCCAGGAAGCAUCUCAAGCUAUUAGCUCAAGCUUAGCACUCCACAGAAAGGAAAGAGAGCAGAGCUGCACAGAAACAGAACCUUGUGCUAACUCACUACUUCAGCUGCAUGGCUAAGAGCAAGAAGAGGGAGCCAUUUUCAAUUGCUUGACACUGUGCUGUGACCCUGAACAACGCCUGGCUAUAUUCCGCCCUGCCAUAGACUGAAGCAACUUCGUUAUAAACCAAUG